Molecule: ribosomal RNA, 491 nt
Filed under: Coconut root wilt phytoplasma
Lineage: Bacteria; Bacillati; Mycoplasmatota; Mollicutes; Acholeplasmatales; Acholeplasmataceae
Description: bacterial SSU rRNA
Rfam family: Bacterial small subunit ribosomal RNA
Source: RNAcentral
GCUUAACACUUGUCCUGCUAUAGAAACUAUUAGACUAGAGUGAGAUAGAGGCAAGUGGAAUUCCAUGUGUAGCGGUAAAAUGCGUAAAUAUAUGGAGGAACACCAGAGGCGUAGGCGGCUUGCUGGGUCUUUACUGACGCUGAGGCACGAAAGCGUGGGGAGCAAACAGGAUUAGAUACCCUGGUAGUCCACGCCGUAAACGAUGAGUACUAAGUGUCGGGAUUACUCGGUACUGAAGUUAACACAUUAAGUACUCCGCCUGAGUAGUACGUACGCAAGUAUGAAACUUAAAGGAAUUGACGGGACUCCGCACAAGCGGUGGAUCAUGUUGUUUAAUUCGAAGAUACACGAAAAACCUUACCAGGUCUUGACAUACUCUGCAAAGCUAUAGCAAUAUAGUGGAGGUUAUCAGGAUACAGGUGGUGCAUGGUUGUCGUCAGCUCGUGUCGUGAGAUGUUAGGUUAAGUCCUAAAACGAGCGCAACCCUUGUC